RNAcentral lists this ribosomal RNA (497 nucleotides) under uncultured bacterium. RNAcentral's name for it is "partial 16S ribosomal RNA". It matches the Rfam family "Bacterial small subunit ribosomal RNA", at positions 28 to 507 of the family's 1533-position model. The record is from RNAcentral.
GAUGAACGCUGGCGGCGUGCCUAAUACAUGCAAGUCGAGCGAACAGAUGAGGAGCUUGCUCCUCUGACGUUAGCGGCGGACGGGUGAGUAACACGUGGAUAACCUACCUAUAAGACUGGGAUAACUUCGGGAAACCGGAGCUAAUACCGGAUAAUAUAUUGAACCGCAUGGUUCAAUAGUUAAAGACGGUUUUGCUGUCACUUAUAGAUGGAUCCGCGCCGCAUUAGCUAGUUGGUAAGGUAACGGCUUACCAAGGCAACGAUGCGUAGCCGACCUGAUAGGGUGAUCGGCCAAACUGGAACUUAGACACGGUCCAGACUCCUACGGGAGGCAGCAGUAGGGAAUCUUCCGCAAUGGGCGAAAGCCUGACGGAGCAACGCCGCGUGAGUGAUGAAGGUCUUCGGAUCGUAAAACUCUGUUAUUAGGGAAGAAAAAAUGUGUAAGUAACUAUGCACGUCUGGACGGUACCUAAUCAGAAAGCCACGGCUAACUACGUG